CCACCUCCUCUCUCUCUCUCUCUCUCGAAAUGGAAGCAGGACUGGCGAAUCGAUUAUCGAAGGUGGCUCUGCUUCUAGUGCUGCUUGUUUCGGUGGCGGUCCGCGCGGAGGACGCGCCGGCGCCGGCACCAGGAAUGGAGAGCGGAUCGAUCGCGGCUGUGCCUGGGCUCUGCGUGCUGCUUCUCACCGCCAUGGCUUCCGCGCUCGCUGCCUUCGCGCAUUGAGGGCCAAUCUCUCAAUGGCUCGUUCUAUGAACUGGAUCUAAGAAAACCCAUUUCUGCAGUUGUAUGAUCGGAUCUGUUUUGCUGAUUAAUCUGAGCAGCAUGAGAAAACUAGAAAUCAAGGUGGCAACAUAUGCUUCUCUUGCAGAAUGAAGCGGACGUGCACACCAUUCCGAUG
Molecule: long non-coding RNA, 399 nt
Organism: Musa acuminata AAA Group (dessert banana)
Lineage: Eukaryota; Viridiplantae; Streptophyta; Magnoliopsida; Zingiberales; Musaceae
Exons: 2
Source: RefSeq, a predicted model, not a curated record